RNAcentral lists this ribosomal RNA (320 nucleotides) under uncultured eukaryote. RNAcentral's name for it is "partial 18S ribosomal RNA". It matches the Rfam family "Eukaryotic small subunit ribosomal RNA", at positions 1470 to 1796 of the family's 1831-position model. The record is from RNAcentral.
CCCCUAGAUGUUCUGGGCCGCACGCGCGCUACACUGAACAGUUCAACAAGUCUUAACCUUGGCCGAUAGGUCUGGGUAAUCUUUGAACGCUGUUCGUGAUUGGGAUAGACCUUUGCAAUUAUGGGUCUUCAACGAGGAAUUCCUAGUAAACGCAAGUCAUCAGCUUGCAUUGAUUACGUCCCUGCCCUUUGUACACACCGCCCAUCGCACCUACCGAUUGAAUGGUCCGGUGAAAUCUCGGGACGGCGGCUUGGUCGCUUGCGUCCGACUGCUGAAACUUGAUUAAACCAUAUCAUUUAGAGGAAGGUGAAGUCGUAACA